GUCGCGACGGUGUAAUGGCGUCGCCUUGCCGCACGUUUCCCGCGCUUUUUACUUUUUAAUUUAUAGCUCCGAAUACAAGACUAGAAAUGGCGAUCAAAACGAGCUCACUUACGAAAACGUGCGCAUGUUUUCUCGUGGCCGUUAACUUUAUUGUGUUGAUGGCAAGUAUUUUCCUGUUCUCCUGUGGUCUAUGGACUAUAGUGUCUCCCGGGUCCCUGAACUACGCGAUACAGGUGUUCGGAACGCCCCAUAUGAAGACAUUAUUUCCAGAAGAAGCGUUGACAUUCCAGCUUGGAUUAGCAGCGGCCAUGUUGGCUAUAUUUUUCUUCUUUAUAUCGUUCAUGGGACUGUAUGGUGCCAUCGCUCGAUCACCAUUUCUAUUGUUUAUG
Leptidea sinapis is the source of this 389-nucleotide long non-coding RNA. RefSeq lists it as uncharacterized. The record is from RefSeq and is a predicted model, not a curated record. NCBI's taxonomy places the organism in Eukaryota, Metazoa, Arthropoda, Insecta, Lepidoptera, Pieridae. The transcript has 4 exons.